Molecule: ribosomal RNA, 230 nt
Filed under: uncultured bacterium
Lineage: Bacteria
Description: partial 16S ribosomal RNA
Rfam family: Bacterial small subunit ribosomal RNA
Source: RNAcentral
AAAGCGUGCGCAGGCGGUUUGUAAGACUGUCGUGAAAUCCCCGGGCUCAACCUGGGAAUGGCGAUGGUGACUGCAAGGCUAGAGUUUGGCAGAGGGGGGUAGAAUUCCACGUGUAGCAGUGAAAUGCGUAGAUAUGUGGAGGAACACCGAUAGGCGAAGGCAGCCCCCUGGGUCAAAACUGACGCUCAUGCACGAAAGCGUGGGGAGCAAACAGGAUUAGAUACCCUGGU